AUUGAACGCUGGCGGCAUGCCUUACACAUGCAAGUCGAACGGCAGCACGGGAGCAAUCCUGGUGGCGAGUGGCGAACGGGUGAGUAAUACAUCGGAACGUGCCCAAUCGUGGGGGAUAACGCAGCGAAGGCUGUGCUAAUACCGCAUACGAUCUACGGAUGAAAGCAGGGGAUCGCAAGACCUUGCGCGAAUGGAGCGGCCGAUGGCAGAUUAGGUAGUUGGUGAGGUAAAGGCUCACCAAGCCGUCGAUCUGUAGCUGGUCUGAGAGGACGACCAGCCACACUGGGACUGAGACACGGCCCAGACUCCUACGGGAGGCAGCAGUGGGGAAUUUUGGACAAUGGGCGAAAGCCUGAUCCAGCCAUGCCGCGUGCAGGAUGAAGGCCUUCGGGUUGUAAACUGCUUUUGUACGGAACGAAACGGCCUUUUCUAAUAAAGAGGGCUAAUGACGGUACCGUAAGAAUAAGCACCGGCUAACUACGUGCCAGCAGCCGCGGUAAUACGUAGGGUGCAAGCGUUAAUCGGAAUUACUGGGCGUAAAGCGUGCGCAGGCGGUUAUGUAAGACAGUUGUGAAAUCCCCGGGCUCAACCUGGGAACUGCAUCUGUGACUGCAUAGCUAGAGUACGGUAGAGGGGGAUGGAAUUCCGCGUGUAGCAGUGAAAUGCGUAGAUAUGCGGAGGAACACCGAUGGCGAAGGCAAUCCCCUGGACCUGUACUGACGCUCAUGCACGAAAGCGUGGGGAGCAAACAGG
Molecule: ribosomal RNA, 753 nt
Filed under: uncultured Comamonadaceae bacterium
Lineage: Bacteria; Pseudomonadati; Pseudomonadota; Betaproteobacteria; Burkholderiales; Comamonadaceae
Description: bacterial SSU rRNA
Rfam family: Bacterial small subunit ribosomal RNA
Source: RNAcentral